This 570-nucleotide long non-coding RNA is filed under the name Brassica napus (rape). RNAcentral's name for it is "long non-coding RNA (BNAP_LNC008536)". The record is from RNAcentral. Lineage: Eukaryota; Viridiplantae; Streptophyta; Magnoliopsida; Brassicales; Brassicaceae.
AGACGUCGCAAAGUUAAAAUUCGAAGAUAAUGCGAACAAAUUGUCCGAACGCGACCACCAAAACCUUACACCCCGUUCGUCGAUUGGCCCCGACGAACACGCCAGCCGUCUUAAACAAACGCAAUUUGAUCACUCUUUUGAUCUUCAAAACAUCCAACACAAGGGCGAAAGCGCGCUACAACAAAAAUCCGAAAUUUUUGUUUAGCACUUCCAGUUGGCUUAAAAAUUGCCUCUGAGAAGAUGCUCGAUUCGUACCAUACAAGUCAUAUAAGCCGAGAACCUAUCGCGGACUUUAAAUCAGUACGAGUCAGGAAGAAAUCGCAGCAGGAAAAACGAUAGCCGGCUAGUCACCACAUAAACCUUAAACCGAAAGUAAACCUAGGUCUUGCCCUAAACCCAACUCUCUGGUCUCUAACAUCUCAAGGCAUGAUAUCUAAAAAUUGAUACGAGAUCUUAAAACCAUGUCUCGCCGUUCGUUUCUAAACGUUCACAAAAUUCUGCAUCUUUUACGAACAGACGAAAGAACGCUACACUAUGAGUUAGGUAUGAGACGACAACUCAUAUUCUUUU